AUUGAACGCUGGCGGCAGGCUUAACACAUGCAAGUCGAGCGGAGCGAGGGUGCUUGCACCUUAGCUUAGCGGCGGACGGGUGAGUAAUGCUUAGGAAUCUGCCUAUUAGUGGGGGACAACAUUCCGAAAGGAAUGCUAAUACCGCAUACGCCCUACGGGGGAAAGCAGGGGAUCUUCGGACCUUGCGCUAACAGAGGAGCCUAAGUCGGAUUAGCUAGUUGGUGGGGUAAAGGCCUACCAAGGCGACGAUCUGUAGCGGGUCUGAGAGGAUGAUCCGCCACACUGGGACUGAGACACGGCCCAGACUCCUACGGGAGGCAGCAGUGGGGAAUAUUGGACAAUGGGCGGAAGCCUGAUCCAGCCAUGCCGCGUGUGUGAAGAAGGCCUUUUGGUUGUAAAGCACUUUAAGCGAGGAGGAGGCUACUUAGAUUAAUACUCUGGGAUAGUGGACGUUACUCGCAGAAUAAGCACCGGCUAACUCUGUGCCAGCCGCCGCGGUAA
This 501-nucleotide ribosomal RNA is filed under the name uncultured bacterium. RNAcentral describes it as "partial 16S ribosomal RNA". It matches the Rfam family "Bacterial small subunit ribosomal RNA", at positions 30 to 523 of the family's 1533-position model. The record is from RNAcentral.